RNAcentral lists this unclassified non-coding RNA (346 nucleotides) under soil metagenome. RNAcentral describes it as "partial contains 5.8S ribosomal RNA, internal transcribed spacer 2, and large subunit ribosomal RNA". The stretch from base 1 to 120 matches the Rfam family "5.8S ribosomal RNA", at positions 35 to 154 of the family's 154-position model. The record is from RNAcentral.
GAUGAAGAACGUAGCGAAAUGCGAUACGUAAUGUGAAUUGCAGAAUUCAGUGAAUCAUCGAGUCUUUGAACGCACAUUGCGCCCCCUGGUAUUCCGGGGGGCAUGCCUGUCCGAGCGUCAUUGCUGCCCUCAAGCCCGGCUUGUGUGUUGGGUCUCGUCCCCCUUCCCGGGGGGACGGGCCCGAAAGGCAGCGGCGGCACCGUGUCCGGUCCUCGAGCGUAUGGGGCUUUGUCACCCGCUCUGCAGGCCCGGCCGGCGCUUGCCGAUCAACCAAAACUUUUUUCCAGGUUGACCUCGGAUCAGGUAGGGAUACCCGCUGAACUUAAGCAUAUCAAUACGCGGAGGA